UACGGAGGGUGCAAGCGUUAAUCGGAAUCACUGGGCGUAAAGCGCGCGUAGGCCGUCUUUUAAGUCGGACGUGAAAGCCCUCGGCUCAACCGGGGAACUGCGUUCGAUACUGGGAGACUUGAGUCCUGGAGAGGGUGGCGGAAUUCCGGGUGUAGGAGUGAAAUCCGUAGAUAUCCGGAGGAACACCGGUGGCGAAGGCGGCCACCUGGACAGGUACUGACGCUGAGGCGCGAAAGCGUGGGGAGCAAAUAGG
This 253-nucleotide ribosomal RNA is filed under the name uncultured bacterium. RNAcentral describes it as "partial 16S ribosomal RNA". It matches the Rfam family "Bacterial small subunit ribosomal RNA", at positions 524 to 776 of the family's 1533-position model. The record is from RNAcentral.